Molecule: transfer RNA, 77 nt
Filed under: Pelagicoccus mobilis
Lineage: Bacteria; Pseudomonadati; Verrucomicrobiota; Opitutia; Puniceicoccales; Pelagicoccaceae
Also listed under: 8 other names
Description: tRNA-Pro
Rfam family: tRNA
About the family: Transfer RNA (tRNA) molecules are approximately 80 nucleotides in length.
Source: RNAcentral
CGGGGUGUAGCUUAGCCUGGUAGAGCGCCUGGUUUGGGACCAGGAGGUCGAAGGUUCGAAUCCUUUCACCCCGACCA